AGAUGACGAUAGACGUCCCUCCUUGAAUUGCCGGUGUUGGGGUGGUCCGAGUGAAACGGAUCACCAACGGCUCUGGCAGAGCUACAUCAGGCUCCCCACCGGUUUGUGCAAACACCUCCUCCUUCUUAUCCUCAUAGUAUACUUGCAUUAAGUUUCUAUCGAGUAGAUCUUGCAUAAUCUUCUUGAACUCGAUACACUCGUCGAUAGAGUGUCCAGCGCAUGGGUGAAGUCCACAUGCUUUUCCCAAAUCGUAAUCACCGCUUAAAAACCCCAACUUCAAUAACUUCUUGAAAAUAAACCUUCUGGAACUUUGGAUUUCACCUGCAUCCCUUAUCAGCUCACCUUUCUUAAUCUCAAUGGCAUUUGUCGAGGCGCCUCCAUGCCCGGAUAAUGGAUUAGCAUCAAUGCUAGGUUUAUCUUCUUGAAACUUC
This 431-nucleotide long non-coding RNA is filed under the name Vigna radiata. Its description in RNAcentral is "long non-coding RNA (VRAD_LNC004813)". The record is from RNAcentral. Lineage: Eukaryota; Viridiplantae; Streptophyta; Magnoliopsida; Fabales; Fabaceae.